This 301-nucleotide ribosomal RNA is filed under the name uncultured bacterium. RNAcentral describes it as "partial 16S ribosomal RNA". It matches the Rfam family "Bacterial small subunit ribosomal RNA", at positions 509 to 809 of the family's 1533-position model. The record is from RNAcentral.
CAGUCGCCGCGGUAAUACGAAGGGGGCUAGCGUUGCUCGGAAUGACUGGGCGUAAAGGGCUCGCAGGCGGUUUCUUAAGUCUGAUGUGAAAGCCCCCGGCUCAACCGGGGAGGGUCAUUGGAAACUGGGAAACUUGAGUGCAGAAGAGGAGAGUGGAAUUCCACGUGUAGCGGUGAAAUGCGUAGAGAUGUGGAGGAACACCAGUGGCGAAGGCGACUCUCUGGUCUGUAACUGACGCUGAGGAGCGAAAGCGUGGGGAGCGAACAGGAUUAGAUACCCCCGUAGUCCCUGUCUCUUAUAA